RNAcentral lists this long non-coding RNA (205 nucleotides) under Lathyrus oleraceus (garden pea). RNAcentral describes it as "Pisum sativum (pea) long non-coding RNA (PSAT_LNC039511)". Lineage: Eukaryota; Viridiplantae; Streptophyta; Magnoliopsida; Fabales; Fabaceae. The record is from RNAcentral.
UGAAUUAAAGUUUCUCAAUUUUUUUUGAUUUAGCGCUAUAUUUUUCUUUUUUUUUAGAUUUGAAAAAGAUAUGUUCUUAACAAUAUAAAAUGUAGAAAAUUAAAUAGCAGAAAAUAUAAAUGACACAAGGUAACUUUCCCUUGUAAUCAAAAGUAUAUCUAGUCCCUUAACAUCCUGAAUGAUUUUUCAUUGUAUUAGAUCUUUG